UUCGUCGUCGCGGUUAGAUUUAGAAAACUGCUAGAAAAAUCUGUCAUUCGUAUCUCUCGUGUUGAACAAAAUAAAACUUGCAGAUAACCGAGCUCCAGGCAUUCGUUAUCAUAUAAUUCAUUUCUGGUCUCCGUGGCGGGGAAACACGGUCAAGUUCAUUUUUCCAUACGGUUAUUUGGAGAUUUCAAGGACUAUGUAAAAAAAUCAGUUUAUUAUUCAUGGAAAUGGUGUGGUAGAAAAACCGAUGCAGUUUUUUGGCGAUAAUCAAUGGGGUGUAAGACUGCGCCAAGGAUGAGCGAUGCUACGAGGAUCGUGUUCACCUUGGCGUCGUUAGGAGCGGCUAACAAUCCGAUGAGUUUCCCAGGGGUGACCCCGAGGGAUCGUAGUCCGGCAGCGAGGGCGAGGGCCUCGGCCAAAAUGUCCUUGUACUUCAAGACUUCGCCAGUCGCAGCGUUCACCUACAUAAAAACAGUGCCCUAGAGAGGAUGGCGGGAUUUCCAUACUCUCGAGAAAUCCCUCGACACCUGUCCCAUGGAGAUGUGACAUCCUUCGUCGCCCAUUUUUCUGUUUACUAUUGUCGAAAUCGAUUUCGUUGAAUGGUGUGCU
This is a long non-coding RNA of Athalia rosae (coleseed sawfly), 606 nucleotides long. RefSeq lists it as uncharacterized. The transcript has 3 exons. NCBI's taxonomy places the organism in Eukaryota, Metazoa, Arthropoda, Insecta, Hymenoptera, Athaliidae. The record is from RefSeq and is a predicted model, not a curated record.